GAUAGAGUAUACCCACCCAAACCAUUUCUGCUCUCUCUGUCUCUCUUCUGUCUUGCUAUCUCUUUUUCUCUCUGUUCUCUUUUUCUAGGAUAAGUAUUACAGUUUAUCAGAUUAUCACUCUCUUGUCUGAAGGGACCCAGUAGUCCGGCAGAUAAAAGGGCAACCCAGAGUCCCCAGGGGUCCUGACAGACAGGGAUCAAAGGAGUAGCUGAUUAGCCAAAGCAAUGUCGCUUUGAUAUCAGAAAGACAAUGAGAAAGAAAGAUAGAGCGACAGAAUGAGAGAGAAUUCAGAUGGAUGACAGUGUUUCAUCCCAUGUUUCAGCAAAUGUCUUGGUUUACCUGCUACAGAGUCAUCUCUUUGUCCUCUCUGUGGCUUUACAGGUCAAAGUUCAUCUUGCUCUGAUGAACUUCAUUCCAUUAGUCCGAUUGUGACUGACUGGUAAAGCUGGGCAGGAAGCAGUGGAUAAAGUCCAGAGUGAAAAUUGGCAGAAUGAAAGCGAGCAGCGCGUCUCCUGCCGAUUACCUCCAUCUCUCCAACUGUGUCAAAGUGACUGAAGCCAGUAUAAUAGUCAUGUAAUGUAACUGCAGCAAAUAGAAAUGACUUGCAACUUUAUUUAGCA
Molecule: long non-coding RNA, 620 nt
Organism: Carassius carassius (crucian carp)
Lineage: Eukaryota; Metazoa; Chordata; Actinopteri; Cypriniformes; Cyprinidae
Exons: 3
Source: RefSeq, a predicted model, not a curated record